AGAGUUUGAUCAUGGCUCAGAACGAACGCUGGCGGCAUGCCUAACACAUGCAAGUCGAACGCUUUCAUGGCUUCGGUCAUGAGGGAGUGGCGCACGGGUGAGUAGCGCGUGGGAACCUGCCCUGCAGUGGGGGAUAACCGAGGGAAACUUCGGCUAAUACCGCAUACGCCGGGAAACCGGGAAAGAUUUAUCGCUGCAGG
RNAcentral lists this ribosomal RNA (200 nucleotides) under uncultured bacterium. RNAcentral's name for it is "partial 16S ribosomal RNA". It matches the Rfam family "Bacterial small subunit ribosomal RNA", at positions 8 to 224 of the family's 1533-position model. The record is from RNAcentral.